Small nucleolar RNA from Gossypium arboreum, 106 nucleotides. It matches the Rfam family "Plant small nucleolar RNA R71". Rfam says of the family: R71 is a member of the C/D box family of snoRNAs containing the C (UGAUGA) and D (CUGA) box motifs. Lineage: Eukaryota; Viridiplantae; Streptophyta; Magnoliopsida; Malvales; Malvaceae. The record is from Rfam.
AAUCUAUGGUGUGGGAACUUCCUUAGCACCAACUUGAAACAAUCCCAUGCUUCGUACAAGGAUUCCCUUCAUAUUUUUUAAAAUUGGUGAUUUCUCACCUAAGUUG